GGAGCUGCAGUAGCUCUGGGUGCAGGGGGCAGUGGACUCCAUGGUGAAGAAUCUGGAGAGAGAGAACCUCCAGAAGAUGCAGGGCUUCAUGUUCCGGUGCAGUGCCCACUGUUCUGAGGACAGCCAGACAUCCAUGCAGCAGGUGCGCCAGUGCUUUGAGUGUUGCCCCCCGCCCCAUGCACCUCUGCCUCAAGCCCAGGCCCUGGUCACCAGCAAGUUGGAGGAGUUCCAGGACUGCCUGCUUUGCACUGCAGUGACAAAGCCAAAGAUUCAACAGAUGUGGGGAGUAAAGAGCUCCAGGUGAAGCGGCAGCUGGCAGACGGUGUGACCAAGGGUGUGAACGGCCACAUGAGCCUCAUCCCAGCCAUGACCAGGAAGGUGAAGGCGUCCCUCUGGUCCAAGGGGAAGUAGACGUCUGCCGUUGGCCACUGGCGCUGAGGGCGGGGAGCUAUGUGAAAAGAGGGAUGGGGGCUCUGGGUCUUCUAAGCCAAGUUUAUGAAUGAAGAAAUUACAGAUGGAAGCAGGUUUAAGGCACCUGUCACUCGCCCCUGGACACUGGUUCCUUCGUGUUUCAGUCCUAGAAAGUGAAACGGGAAAAUGGAUCUGAGGCUAAAAUUUGGGUCAGGGAUCGCACGGGAGAGUUUUGGAGAGCCUCAGUUUCGCGUGGCAAGUGCCUAUCCUGGCAGCAGGGACCCGCCCGCAUAGCAGAGCCCUCCGACGUAUCAGAGUCCCUAGUACACAGAUACCAACAGGCUGGCAGCUUCCUCUAGCCUGCCUGGGACCUAGUAGCGUGUGAGGAGAGGUGUUUCUGCUUCUUGCCAGCCAACCUCCUAUUUACCAGAAGGAUGAACACACACCGAGCCAUUUUCCACAAAGUACAAUAAAACAAAAUCCACAAGGUCACCAAUUUAGGAGGGGGCUUCCAGGAUUUUAUUUUAUACACAAGGGUAUGAAGUUAGUUUGAGAUGUGGCGUUGGGAGCGGUAGUGCGGAUGAGAGCUUUGAAAGGGUCCCUGUGAGUACUCGUUUCUGGCCAUCGAGAUGUAGGCGUGCCUUACUUAAAAUGCUCACACGUUGACAUCGUUCGGCCUGGAGACCUUGCCGAGAUAUGAGAGGGGAUGUCGGACGGUGUGGGAAGCAGGUGUCCCUUUCACUGGCGGCCACGAUGGCCCUGAGGCUGCAGCAGAGGGACGGGACCGUCUUACGGUGACACUCACCCUUGAAGGAUCUCAGUUGCGUUCUGUACUAGGAUUCGGGAGUGCACAGUGCAAGAGGAACUGUCGUCUGCUUAAUUCAGAGAGUUGUGAAGGACUGGAUUUGGAAAAAUCUGGUUUUCAUAAAACAGAAUAGAACGAAAGCCUAAAUCCAGUUUUGCUUAUGUUGCCACUUAAAGAGCAGGGCUCUGUUGAGAUGAUCCCUUGGCAAUGUGAAGGUCAAGGGAGAAAAAGUAAGCGACUCGGGGCUGGCUGUGACUCCUUGGAAGAGAGGAACAGGCCUCAUGAGCAAAUACCGCUUUUGCCAGGGCCUUUGUUCUUACCCCAGUUCGGGCACCUUAUUGUCUUUUUACCAGCUUAUUCCUUAAAGUGAAAAUAUAGCCUUUGUGUUUGCUGUUUUGAGAUUGUGAUGUAUUUUCCUGGUGGUUUGGUUUUAAAAAUAAAUAAGGUUUAAUUGUUUUCUUCCCAAAACAAAAAACCUAAAAACCCCAAAGUAAGCUAUGCUACAGCUGAUGCAGGGUCCUCUCACCGCCAGUGGUGCCCAUUAGUCAGGGUUGGGUCGGCCCCUCCAGGGUAGUCACACACACAGCACCCCCAUCGCCUUGCUGCCAGGGUGCCCAUGCUCCCCCCGAGAUUCUUUAGUUCCGCCCCUGAGAAUGCUCCAGUGGGCAAUGUAGGGAGAGAUACCAUGCAUGUGCCCACAGGUGGCCCUGCCUUCAUCUUCAGAGCUAGAGAAGGCCUCCUGGAGGACUCGGUGCUGAAGCCGAGACCUAUUUCUGCUACAGAAAGCCCUGUGUGCAGCCACAAGCGCAAGGGCUCGGAUCACAGACCUUCAGAGUCAGGGAAACCUCAGCAGUUAUCGGGAUGUGGUUGCCAAUGUUUGUAAACCACCAGAGCUUCUUCAAAGGAAAAGUCUCUUGGCUCUUUAGAUGUAGGAGGCUGCUUUGGGUUGAUGGGUGAGGGGAGGAGGAGGCCAGAGACCUUCGUAGGGCACCCCCUUGCCCUCCUCUGUGGAUCCUGAACCACAGUGCGAGGAAACCACAGGUUGAACUGCCCCCUCCUCCCCCCCGUGGCUGACCAAGAAGUGGAGGUCCAGAGAGGUAGAGAAACUUAACAAGGGCACACAGCAAGUUGUGUGAUGCAUGUUGUCGAUGGGCAGAUUUCUGAUCAUCCAUCCCUGGGCUCCCCAAAACCUUGAUACCCUUCUUGAGAGUCGAUAAUGUAGCCCAAUUAUCAGCUACUGUGAAUAAACUGUGGGACUUCUGCUCUAGGACCAGGUGCCUUUCUGACUUUAAUCCCGUCAGGAAAUAGCAUUUUGUUUGGUUGCUAUUUUUAUUUUGCAGACUGGCUGAGGUCUGUAGGCGGUCCUAAGUUAUGCAUGGUUGCCACUCCCAGCUACCAUGCAUCAAAAGCCCAUGACAUGCUGGGUACUGGGAAGUCCCCUCCUGUGUCACUUACUCUCCAUGGUUCAGGGAGGUUGGUAGAUGAGAAAACUGAGGCUGAAAGAAGUGGAGAAAAGAUUAAAAGCCCCUGCUCUUUGCAAGAGAUAUGCCACCUCCCCAGGAAGAUGAAGAUAAAUGUGAAAUGCCCUGGAUCGAGUAGAAAGAAAUUGCUAAAAAAAAAAAAAUCAGAGUGCCAUUUAAGGGUGAAGAUUGGACUGUGUGACUCAGGAGGAAAGGGAGGCCAGACCUGAGGCUGACCACAAGCGGAUGCAAGGCAGCCAAACAUCCAGCAGGGAUGGCUUGGGGUCUGAAAGGGUGGUAAGAAAGCAAGGAGUGAAAUGGCAAAAUUGUAGAAAAGAGACUAGUUCUCUGGUUGUCAGGGUGGAGAGGAGGUGUGGCUCUAAAAGGGCACAGGAAGGAUCCUGUGGUAUCAGAAAUGCUCUGUAUCCUCAUUGUAUUGAUGACCGCAUCUAGAAGUUAUAAUGUUGCAGUUUCGCAGGAUGUAUCACUGGGGGAAAUGGUGACAAGGAUAUGGGAUUUCUCCCUGUUAUUUCCUAAAGCUCCAUGUGAAUCUGUAACUAUCUCAGCAAGUUUAAUUAAAAAUGUAUAGUUUCCAUUGUGGCUCAGCAGGUUAAGUAUCCAUGAGGAUAUGGGUUUGACACCUGGCCUCGCUCAGUGGGUUAAGGAUCCACUGUUGCUGUGGCUCUGGUGUAGGCCAGCAUCUGCAGCUCUGAUUCUACCCCUGGUCUGGGAACUUCCAUAUGCCAUGGGUACAGCCCCCAAAGGGGAAAAAAAUGUGUAUGUAAGGGCCCAGAAUCAAGAUGGCAGAGUGGUAAGAUGUGGAACGCAGCUCUUUCCACUGUACAUCAAGAAUACAUCUGCACAUGGAACCGUUUUCACAGAACACCUACUGAACACUAGUGGAAGACCUCAAACAAGGACAAGAAAGAUCUCCAUGGGUAGGGAGAAAGGAAAAAAAAAAAAAAGAGGAAGCGGGACGGGGCCCGCCCACCUGGGAGGGAGCUGAAGGAGAGGAGAGUUUCCUGCACCCUGGAAAGCCCCAUCAUCAGUGGGGAGAUCAGCCGAGACAGAAGAGGAGCUUCAGAGGCUCAGAGGAGAGAACAACAACUGGUUUGUGGCAGGCAGGAAACUCUCUACAUAGACAUUCCAUGCGACCACCUUGCAUACUCCAGCCUGAGACUCCUCUCUGCUAGUAGGGGUGGGGGUUGGGUGCUGGAACUUGGGGUUUGGUGGACAGGUCCUGGGAAAGAACUGGUGUUGACUGCGUGGUGACAGCCUAAAGGGACUGGAGCAUGGUACAGCUGUAAUUGAGAGUGUUCGUGGAAGAAGCCCUGGCCUGCCAUAGAAACAGAGCACCACUGUUAAGUGCCAUGCAAAGGGAGGGGGAGUGCCACCAUGGCAGCUUUUUUCCCCAUGCACUGGCCCCUGCCUCUGCAGGCUCUAGGAGAAGCUCCUGCCUUGGCAGAACAUGAAUAGCAGAAUGAAUAAUGCAGAAGAACAAAUGAGUGAUCUGGAAGAUAGAAUAAUGGAAAUCACUCAGUUAGAACAGCAGACAGAAACCUAAACAAACAAAAAAAAAUGACAUCUAUAUGAGACCUGUGGGCUAAUAGAAAGCAUGCCAGUCUAUGCAUAAUAGGGAUCUCAGGAAAAGAAAAAGAAGAGGGGAUUGGAAAUCUAUUUGAAUAAAUUAUGGCUGAAAACUUCCCAAAUCUAAAGAAGGAAAUAGAUAUCUAGAUACAGGAAGCACAGAGGGUCCCAAACAAUAUAAACUCAAACAGACCUACACCAAUACAUAUAAUAAAAAUGGCAAAAGUUAAAGAGAGGAUUCUAAAGGUGGUAAGAGGAAAGCACAGAGUUAAUGACAAGGGCGCCCCCAUAAGGCUAUCUGCUGAUUUUGCUGCAGAAGCAUUGCAGGCCAGAAGGGAGUGGCAAGAUUCAAAGUCCUUUCAGAGAAAACUGUAACCUAGGAUACCCAGCAAAAUUAUCAUUUAGAAGAGAAGAAGAGACAAAGAAUUUUUCAGACAAGGAAAAACUGAAAGAAUACAGAAAUACCAAAACUUUCCUAAAGGAAACAUUGAAAGGGAGUCUCCAAAUAGAAAAGAAGAAUUUAUAGGAAAACCACAAUUAGAAAGGAAAUCACUCAAAUAAGCCAGUACACAGAUUUCUAAAAAUUAAAACAUUUCUGUGAAAGUGAUGAUAACCUCAGUGAACAGCAAAAGGGUGAGCAUGAAGACGCAAAAGAGGACAUCGAAGUCAUAAAAUGCAGGGGAGGAGAGUACGAAAAUGUAGGGUUUUUUCCUAGAAUGCGAUUGAGCCUACAUGACUACCAGUCCAAAGCAAGUAGAAAUAGGAAGGAUAGCUAAUAAGAUGUAGCAUACUUGAAAAACAGGGCAAUACAAAUCAAAAAUAUAUGCAGUAGUUUCACAAAAUCCAAAACAGAUAGAACAUAAGUGCAAUACAAAAGAAAAUCAUCAAACCAUAAAAGGCAAAACAUAAAGAAAGGGACAAAGAAGAAAUAUAGAAUUAAUGGAAAAACAAGGGUUAAGGUGGCAAUAAAUACACACUUAUCAAUAAUUCCCUUAAAUAUCAGUGGACUAAAUACUCCAGUCAAAAGACAGUGACAGUUUGGAUAGAAAAAAAAUGUGAGAUGAGUCUACAAUAUGCUCUACAAGAGACCUAUUUUAGGGCAGAGAACACACAUAGAUUGAAAGUGAGGGGACAGAAAAAGAGUUCAUGUAAACAGAAAUAACAAGAAAGUGAAGUUUGCAUACUCAAAUCAGACAAAAUUGACUUUAAAACAAAGGCUAUAAAGAAAGAUAAAAAGGAUAUUAUAUAAUGACAAAAGGAUCAAUAGAGAGAAUAUUACACUCUUCAACAUAUGUGCAUCCAAUAUAGGAGCUCCCAAAUACAUAAAACAAACACUAAGAGAUAUAAAGGGAGACAUUGAUAAGAAUACAAUAAUAGUAGGAAGCUUUAACACUCCACUCACAUCAAUGGGCAAAUCUUUUGAGACAAAAAGUUAAAAAGACAACAGAGAUCCUAAGUGAUGCAAUAGAACAGUUAGACUUAAGUGAUAUCUUCAGGACAUUACAUCCAAAAAAUGCAUAAUACACAUUCUUUUUAAGUGCACAUGGAACAUUUUCUAGGAUUGGCCACAUACUGGGGCACAAAAUAAGCUUCAACAAAUUUAAGAGUGUAUAGGAAUUAUUUCCAACAUCUUUUCUGACCACAGUGGCAUGAAACUAGAAAUCAACCACAGAAAAAGAAAUGAGAGUAAAAAACAACUACAUGGAGAUUGAAAAACAUGCUACUAAAAAUUAGUGGGUCAACAAUGAAAUCAAAGAGGAAAUUGGAAAAUAUCCUGAGGCAAAUUAUAAUGAAAACACAACCAUACAAAAUGUGUGGGAUGCAGCAAAAGCAGUUCUUAGAGGGACGUUCAUAGUGAUAGGCAUUUUUUAAGAAACAGGAAAGUGAGUUCCCAUUGUGGCAUUGUAGGUUCAGAACCUGACAUAGUGUCUCUGAAAAUAUGAGUUUGAUCCCUGGCUUCACUCAGAGGGUUAAAGAUCCAGCAUUGCUUCAGGCUGUAGUGUAGGUCACAGGUGUCACCAUUGUUGCUGUGGCUGUGGUGUAGGCUGUCAGCUGCUGCUCCAAUUCAACCCCUAUUCUGGGAACUUCCUAUGCUGCAAGUGGCACU
RNAcentral lists this long non-coding RNA (6370 nucleotides) under Sus scrofa (pig). RNAcentral's name for it is "lncRNA (ENSSSCG00000059695.1)". Lineage: Eukaryota; Metazoa; Chordata; Mammalia; Artiodactyla; Suidae. The record is from RNAcentral.